RNAcentral lists this non-coding RNA (148 nucleotides) under Homo sapiens (human). The record is from Rfam by way of RNAcentral. Lineage: Eukaryota; Metazoa; Chordata; Mammalia; Primates; Hominidae.
GCUGGGCGUAGUGGCGGGCGCCUGUAAUCCCAGCUACUUGGGAGGCUGAGGCAGGAGAAUUGCUUGAGCCCGGGAGGCAGAGCUUGCAGUGAGCCGAGAUUGCGCCACUGCACUCCAGCCUGGGUGACAGAGCAAGACUCGGUCUCCA